Molecule: ribosomal RNA, 475 nt
Filed under: uncultured organism
Description: partial 16S ribosomal RNA
Rfam family: Bacterial small subunit ribosomal RNA
Source: RNAcentral
ACGUACACUCCUGCGGGAGGCAGCAGUGGGGAAUUUUGGGCAAUGGGCGAAAGCCUGAUCCAGCCAUGCCGCGUGCAGGAUGAAGGCCUUCGGGUUGUAAACUGCUUUUGUACGGAACGAAACGGCCUUUUCUAAUAAAGAGGGCUAAUGACGGUACCGUAAGAAUAAGCACCGGCUAACUACGUGCCAGCAGCCGCGGUAAUACGUAGGGUGCAAGCGUUAAUCGGAAUUACUGGGCGUAAAGCGUGCGCAGGCGGUUAUGUAAGACAGUUGUGAAAUCCCCGGGCUCAACCUGGGAACUGCAUCUGUGACUGCAUAGCUAGAGUACGGUAGAGGGGGAUGGAAUUCCGCGUGUAGCAGUGAAAUGCGUAGAUAUGCGGAGGAACACCGAUGGCGAAGGCAAUCCCCUGGACCUGUACUGACGCUCAUGCACGAAAGCGUGGGGAGCAAACAGGAUUAGAAACCCGUGUAGUCC